GUCAAACAAGACACAUCUGUGAACUCUGUGCAGGCUUAGGAGCUGGCAGUUAUGGACCUCUGAUGUACAUGACGUGAGAAGAGGGAACACCAAGUUCUUAUUUGUCCAGCUGGCUCGAAGCUGUUAGGAUGAGCCCUGCAGCUGGAUGAAGCAACUUGUUAAUUAUGGGUUGCCAAACAGUGCUAGACUCUAGGUCAGUCUGGAACAUCCAGGUUCUAAUCAGAAACUCGGGAGCAAAUUCAACUUGGAGAUGAACAGACGUAUUAUCAGUGACUGCUGUUUGGGCUGCUGUUCAAUUUUGGAAAAUUCCUGAACCCUUGAUUGACUUCUACCGAAAACCAGAGCUGAGUUUCUCCCCCAGAAACGGUCCCGGAACUGUGUGAGCACAGAUAUGUCUGGGAGCUACUGGCUUCCAGCAGGUAAGAUAAGAAAUCUGUUAAAUCACAGGCUGAUGAAAACAUACAAGCAAACACACCGAAAAAAAGUUCAAAUUUGUGGUUAACCAAGGCAGGGAUAUUGGGGGAGGGGAAUUGGAUGAAGGCAGUCAGAAGAUACUGUGUAUGUCCAUUUAUAAGAUAAACAAGUCCUAGGAAUGGAACAUGUGACAUGAUGAAUACACUGUAAUUAAUACAGCUGUAUAUUAUAUACUAUGCUUGAUCUUAGCCAAAAGGCCGAGAAGCGAUGUAAAAGUUAAGAGAGUAAAUCCUCAGAGUUCUCAUCACACACAAUUUUUUUCUGUUUCUUUCAUUUUGCAUCUAUAGGAGAUGAUGUUCACUAAACUUACUGUGAUAAUCAUUUCAGGAUGUAUGUAAAUCAAAUCACAAUGCUAUAUGCUUUAAACUUAUAAAAUGUUCUAUGUCAAUUAUAUCUCAAUAAAACUGGAAGGAAAAAAGAAAUUUGUUAAAUCAUUCUGCAGUUUCAUCUGAGGGAAGGUAAUAGGUGUGCUGGGGCUGUGGCAAUCAAGUUUGGCUCCUUUGGGGGUGGUGGGGAGAAGACUGGGAGAGAUUAUAUAUUUUUCAUUCACUACUGACAGAGGUGUUUCUUUAGGUAAUAUUUGCACUCAUCAGACUUGCGGAAUGUACCAACAUUCUGUGCUGUUUGAACCAGGAUCACUGCCAGGAAAAUGCAACACACAAAAAUUGUUCCAGUUACGAAGGGACAAAGUUCAUUAGCAUCUGGAACUGAAGCUUUACAGACAGUGGCCGAUAUAGCAUUGUAACUUUCCUCCCUUUUUUAAAUUGCCAUUGGACUUAUAAUUAAUAAUAAAGCUUGACUUUUGUUCUUCUGUUUUCA
RNAcentral lists this long non-coding RNA (1293 nucleotides) under Bos indicus x Bos taurus (hybrid cattle). Its description in RNAcentral is "lncRNA (ENSBIXG00000010518.1)". The record is from RNAcentral. Lineage: Eukaryota; Metazoa; Chordata; Mammalia; Artiodactyla; Bovidae.